AAGCAUAGCGACUGUGGGGCAGAGUCAGAGAGGGGAGGAUACAGACUUGGGAGGGCAGAGACUCAGAAACAGAAUGUUCCCAUUAGGGACAUGGUGUUGCGGGGAGCUGCCUCCCCCAGCCCCUGCUCCCUCCCUUACCGCCAGACUAUGAUGAGAGAAGCCACCUGCAUGACACCUUCACCCAGAUGGCCCAUGCCCUGCAGGAGCUGGCUGCUGCCCAGGGAUCCUUUGAGACUGCCUUCCCUGAUGCUGCGGAGAAAAUGAAGAAGGUCAUUACACAGCUUAAAGAAGCCCAGGCUUGCAUCCCUCCCUGCGGUAAGGACUUCAUCUAAAACUUGGAAUUGCGGGGUAAGGGAGGCGGUCGGGGCCGAAACGUACGACAUCAAGUGUGGGAAAUCGGGUGGGCUUCACAUCCUUAGGAGGCCAAUAAGAUCCCUGGAGAAAAGGAAGUAAACCAAGUAUUGCUCUAAAUCCUCA
Molecule: small RNA, 477 nt
Filed under: Pongo abelii (Sumatran orangutan)
Lineage: Eukaryota; Metazoa; Chordata; Mammalia; Primates; Hominidae
Description: retained intron
Source: RNAcentral